Molecule: long non-coding RNA, 394 nt
Organism: Ostrinia furnacalis (Asian corn borer)
Lineage: Eukaryota; Metazoa; Arthropoda; Insecta; Lepidoptera; Crambidae
Exons: 2
Source: RefSeq, a predicted model, not a curated record
GCUGCCGUAGAGAGAGCACGUCUCGUCGCCGCGAGUUCGUACUUCGGAACGUUGAAGUGACCGUAUAAAAAAACCUUUUCUGUGAAUUUUCUUAGUGCUUCUGUACCGGAAAAUUUUACACAGAAAUAGAAAAAAAUCGUCGCAAGCGCAGACCAUCGAACUAAAAGACACAAAACAGUCAGCAGGACUCAAAACUGAAUGUGAUAUAAUUUAUUUAUUUAUUAUUAGUACGCAUUUAACUAACAAACGACAAUACUCAAAAGUCAAUUAACAGACUAUAAAAGGCGGGAAAGAGAAAAGAACACAGAUAACAAUUGCAAGGAGGUUAUAUGUUUGAAGGAUAAAUUUUAAUAUGAGAGACACCAUGAAGUCCUGCCAACACACACUGUCAAAC